GGGCGCUUAGCUCAGCGGCAAGAGCAUCGCCAUUACACGGCGGUGGUCACAGGUUCGAAUCCUGUAGCGCUCA
This 73-nucleotide transfer RNA is filed under the name Phycisphaerae bacterium. RNAcentral's name for it is "tRNA-Val". It matches the Rfam family "tRNA". From Rfam's summary of the family: Transfer RNA (tRNA) molecules are approximately 80 nucleotides in length. Their secondary structure includes four short double-helical elements and three loops (D, anti-codon, and T loops). The record is from RNAcentral. Lineage: Bacteria; Pseudomonadati; Planctomycetota; Phycisphaerae.